This is a non-coding RNA of Cinara cedri, 259 nucleotides long. NCBI's taxonomy places the organism in Eukaryota, Metazoa, Arthropoda, Insecta, Hemiptera, Aphididae. The record is from the annotation of a GenBank genome assembly.
GAAUGUUUAUUGAACUGUUAAUAUUGAGCUGAAAGAAAUAGAGUUAGAAUUCAACCCCCAUAUUCCCACUUGCCAAUGCAUCAGUGUUAUUAUAUUAGAUAUCGAUAAAGAAAAGAUAAAACGAGACAUAUAUAGGGAUCCCAUACGUCCCGUAUUAUACGGAAUUGUCCCAUAUUUGAGACAAGCGUCCCGGUGUCCCGACCAAAUAUUCUAAACAACACUUUUGUCCCGUAUUUUAAAUCACCCAUCCCAUAUGUCC